ACGGUCCUAAGGUAGCGAAAUUCCUUGUCGGGUAAGUUCCGACCCGCACGAAAGGUGUAACGAUUUGGGCACUGUCUCAACGAGGGACCCGGUGAAAUUGAAAUACCUGUGAAGAUGCAGGUUACCCGCGACUGGACAGAAAGACCCCAUGGAGCUUUACUGUAACCUGACAUUGGGUUUUGUUGUAUUACGUACAGGAUAGGUGGGAGGCUUGGAAGGCUGGACGCUAGUCUGGCUGGAGCCGGCGUUGGGAUACCACCCUUGAUACAACGGAAUUCUAACCGAGAGAGUAACGAAAUCCGGGACAGUGUCAGGCGGGCAGUUUGACUGGGGCGGUCGCCUCCGAAAGAGUAACGGAGGCGCCCAAAGGUUCCCUCAGCGCGGCCGGAAAUCGCGCGAAGAGUGUAAAGGCAGAAGGGAGCUUGACUGCGAGCCAAACACGGCGAGCAGGUACGAAAGUAGGGCUUAGUGAUCCGGUGGUACCGAGUGGAAGGGCCAUCGCUCAACGGAUAAAAGCUACCCUGGGGAUAACAGGCUAAUCUCUCCCAAGAGUCCAUAUCGACGGGGAGGUUUGGCACCUCGAUGUCGGCUCAUCACAUCCUGGGGCUGAAGUCGGUCCCAAGGGUUGGGCUGUUCGCCCAUUAAAGUGGUACGUGAGCUGGGUUCAGAACGUCGUGAGACAGUUCGGUCCCUAUCCAUCGCGGGCGCAAGAGAUUUGAAGGGGGCUGCUCCUAGUACGAGAGGACCGGAGUGGACGAACCGCUGGUGUACCAAUUAUCCCGCCAGGGGUACAGUUGGGUAGCUACGUUCGGAAAGGAUAAACGCUGAAAGCAUCUAAGCGUGAAACCAGCCUUAAGAUGAGAUCUCUCAUAGAGCAAUCUAGUAAGACACCUUAAAGAAGAUGAGGUUGAUAGGUCGGGAGUGUAAGUACAGCAAUGUAUUGAGCGGACCGAUACUAAUAUGUCGAGGGCUUGACUUA
This 979-nucleotide ribosomal RNA is filed under the name human gut metagenome. RNAcentral describes it as "bacterial LSU rRNA". It matches the Rfam family "Bacterial large subunit ribosomal RNA", at positions 1945 to 2925 of the family's 2925-position model. The record is from RNAcentral.